This 468-nucleotide ribosomal RNA is filed under the name uncultured Anaerolineaceae bacterium. Its description in RNAcentral is "bacterial SSU rRNA". It matches the Rfam family "Bacterial small subunit ribosomal RNA", at positions 900 to 1382 of the family's 1533-position model. The record is from RNAcentral. Lineage: Bacteria; Bacillati; Chloroflexota; Anaerolineae; Anaerolineales; Anaerolineaceae.
CUCAAAUGAAUUGACGGGUCCCCGCACAAGCAGCGGAGCGUGUGGUUUAAUUCGAUGCUACACGAAGAACCUUACCUGGGUUUGACAUAGAGGUAGUAGGGAAGCGAAAGCGGACGACCCUUCGGGGAGCCUCUACAGGUGUUGCAUGGCUGUCGUCAGCUCGUGUCGUGAGAUGUUCGGUUAAGUCCGCUAACGAGCGCAACCCUCGCUGUGUGUUACAAGUGUCACACGGUACUGCCGAUAGUUAAGUCGGAGGAAGGUGGGAUGACGUCAAGUCAGCAUGACCUUUAUAUCCAGGGCUACACACACGCUACAAUGGCCAGUACAAUGGGUUGCCAAGCCGCGAGGCGGAGCCAAUCCUAAAAAGCCGGUCUCAGUUCGGAUUGCAGGCUGCAAUUCGCCUGCAUGAAGUCGGAAUCGCUAGUAAUCGCAGGUCAGCAUACUGCGGUGAAUACGUUCCCGGGCCUU